UAACGGUCCUAAGGUAGCGAAAUUCCUUGUCGGGUAAGUUCCGACCCGCACGAAAGGCGCAACGAUCUGGGCACUGUCUCAACGAGAGACUCGGUGAAAUUAUAGUACCUGUGAAGAUGCAGGUUACCCGCGACAGGACGGAAAGACCCCGUGGAGCUUUACUGCAACCUGAUAUGGAAUGUUUGUACCGCUUGUACAGGAUAGGUAGGAGCCGAAGAGACGUGUGCGCUAGCAUACGAGGAGGCAAUGGUGGGAUACUACCCUGGCUGUAUGACCAUUCUAACCCGCCACGCUUAGCGCGUGGGGAGACAGUGUCAGGUGGGCAGUUUGACUGGGGCGGUCGCCUCCUAAAGAGUAACGGAGGCGCCCAAAGGUUCCCUCAGAAUGGAUGGAAAUCAUUCGCAGAGUGUAAAGGCACAAGGGAGCUUGACUGCGAGACUGACAAGUCGAGCAGGGACGAAAGUCGGGCUUAGUGAUCCGGUGGUUCCGCAUGGAAGGGCCAUCGCUCAACGGAUAAAAGCUACCCCGGGGAUAACAGGCUUAUCUCCCCCAAGAGUCCACAUCGACGGGGAGGUUUGGCACCUCGAUGUCGGCUCGUCGCAUCCUGGGGCUGUAGUCGGUCCCAAGGGUUGGGCUGUUCGCCCAUUAAAGCGGCACGCGAGCUGGGUUCAGAACGUCGUGAGACAGUUCGGUCCCUAUCCGUCGCGGGCGCAGGAAAUUUGAGAGGAGCUGUCCUUAGUACGAGAGGACCGGGAUGGACACACCGCUGGUGUACCAGUUGUUCCGCCAGGAGCAUCGCUGGGUAGCUAUGUGUGGCAGGGAUAAACGCUGAAAGCAUCUAAGCGUGAAGCCCCCCUCAAGAUGAGAUUUCCCAUUUCUUCGGAAAGUAAGAUCCCUGAAAGAUGAUCAGGUAGAUAGGUUUGGAGUGGAAGUGUAGCGAUACA
This 944-nucleotide ribosomal RNA is filed under the name Listeria monocytogenes. Its description in RNAcentral is "partial 23S ribosomal RNA". It matches the Rfam family "Bacterial large subunit ribosomal RNA", at positions 1943 to 2885 of the family's 2925-position model. The record is from RNAcentral. Lineage: Bacteria; Bacillati; Bacillota; Bacilli; Caryophanales; Listeriaceae.